This is an RNA transcript of Sarcophilus harrisii (Tasmanian devil), 645 nucleotides long. It is a transcript of the gene named ras-related protein Rab-2A pseudogene, with no coding region annotated. The transcript has a single exon. NCBI's taxonomy places the organism in Eukaryota, Metazoa, Chordata, Mammalia, Dasyuromorphia, Dasyuridae. The record is from RefSeq and is a predicted model, not a curated record.
UCCCCCUUCUACCCCUCCUCCGGCCUAGAGGCAGGUGUUGGGAAAUCAUGUUUAUUACUACAAUUUACAGACAAGAGGUUUCAGCCAGUGCAUGACCUUACUAUUGGUGUAGAAUUUGGUGCUCGAAUGAUAACGAUUGAUGGAAAACAGAUAAAGCUUCAGAUAUGGGAUACAGCAGGACAGGAGUCCUUCCGUUCCAUUACAAGGUCAUAUUACAGAGGUGCAGCAGGGGCUUUACUAGUGUAUGAUAUUACAAGGAGAGAUACAUUCAACCACUUGACAACUUGGUUAGAAGAUGCUCGCCAGCAUUCCAAUUCCAACAUGGUCAUUAUGCUAAUUGGGAAUAAAAGUGAUUUAGAAUCUAGAAGAGAAGUUAAAAAAGAAGAAGGUGAAGCUUUUGCCAGAGAACAUGGACUUAUCUUUAUGGAAACUUCUGCUAAGACUGCUUCCAAUGUAGAAGAGGCAUUUAUUAAUACAGCAAAAGAAAUUUAUGAAAAAAUCCAAGAAGGAGUUUUUGACAUUAAUAAUGAGGCAAAUGGCAUUAAAAUCGGCCCUCAGCAUGCCGCUACUAAUGCAACACACUCUGGCAGUCAGGGAGGACAACAAGCUGGUGGAGGCUGCUGUUGAGCCUAUUUUUGCUUUCUA